CCGCCGCCCUGCAGCCCACUCGCUGCCUCGGCAGCGCGCUGCUCUUCUAAGAUGGCUGCCGCUACCGGUGCGGUGGCAGCCUCGGCCGCCUCGGGUCAGGCGGAAGGUAAAAAGAUCACCGAUUUGCGGGUCAUCGAUCUGAAGUCCGAGCUGAAGCGGCGGAACUUAGACAUCACCGGAGUCAAGACCGUGCUCAUCUCCCGACUCAAGCAGGCUAUUGAAGAGGAAGGAGGCGAUCCAGAUAAUAUUGAAUUAACUGUUUCAACUGAUACUCCAAACAAGAAACCAACUAAAGGCAAAGGUUGUUACGAGUUAUGAACAUGUUUUAAAAUAUAUUUUGGUUAUAUAACUUGCCUCUGCUCUUGUGCCUCUUGCCCUGUUUAUAUAGUGCUACUCUUUGCUAUUUCCCUCUGGCACUCUGCCUUCUUGGGUCAAGGAAGAAAAGUUACUGUUGCCAGGCUUUGGGUGACUUGUAGCCCUUAAGAUUCGGCUGAAGCUGAUUAGA
Molecule: small RNA, 505 nt
Filed under: Pan troglodytes (chimpanzee)
Lineage: Eukaryota; Metazoa; Chordata; Mammalia; Primates; Hominidae
Description: retained intron
Source: RNAcentral